CUGGAGACCUUGAACUGAUAGCCGAAAAAAUGUGCAUCUUGGGUCUCAGGUGAAAAUUCCUGAUUGUGAUAUUUUUUACCUCGCUGGUUUCUUCCACAAUGCAGCUGCAUUAGAGAAUAAAGAAAUACUGCGUUUAUUUUCUUAUGCUCUUAUACAAACAAUGUUGGACAUCAAAUGCUAUGUAAUAUCUUAUGUGUUCAAUAAUACAAUUUUGAUGCUAAGUAAUUUGACAUGAUUUUGUCUUUAUGAGCAGCCAAGUAAGAAAUGUUGUUGCUUAAUUUUGUAAGAAAUUGAAAAGACUCAGGAUUAAGCAUGGAGAUGAUGAUAUGGAAGAUGUUAAAGGCGUGAUUACAAAAAAAGGAUUAAUUUAUUUAUCACAGGGAUGCCUUGAAUUGGAAUACCUUGCUACAUAUAUGUCUGACACCACAAAUGCAUCCCUAGAAUGAAAAAGCUCUAUAACUUUCUGUUGGUCUUAAUUGGAAAACAAGAAACAAUAACAGAUUUUGCAUCUACUGUUAGGCCUUUGAUCCCCAAGGUUACAAUCCAUAAAUAAUUAUGUAUACCAUUGAGAUCCAUUAUUUUAUUUUAUUCUUUCAAGAGUUGGUGUAAUAAGUUUGAUUUUUUUUUUUUUUUUUUUAUGACGGGGGAACCCCGCAAUCGCUACUCUCUGAGUGCAUACUGGGUAAACUCUCGAACUGAUGCAAAGCAAGUUUGCUUUCUUAGUGGAUAGGAAAGCGAUUGAGGCCUUGUUGCUCUACUUUUCAUCCGUAUGUAGUUUUGAUGAGUUGGACUUGUUUUGAUAUAUUAUGUUAAUGCUUGCAACCAUGGAUCAGUGCAAUAAAAUUCAUUAGAAAUAAAAUUUCUCAAUUGUGUAUCCACUUGCAUAAAUCCUUUUUGCUCAUAUAAUUUUCUUUUUCUUUUCCGAUGUCAUGAAAUUCAUUUCCCUUUUCUCCAUUUUUGGAGCACUAAAAUUGGAUGGAAUUGGAAAACAAUAUAAAAACUUUUGAAUUAAAAAGAACAAAAAGAAAUGGAAAAAAAAUUGAAAUUUGUUCCAAUGGACUUCACAACUUUUAUCUAUUUAUAUAAUUCGAGGAACUCAUAAUUAAUUUUCACUUAUUUAUUACUAAUUUUUAUAAUUAUUUAUAAUUUAAAAGUGCAGAUAAUUCGUCCACCUACCUUUCCACAUUCAAAUAGUCGCAUUUCUCUCUAAUCUUGGGUCAAAGUCUACGCGUUAUCAUCUUCUUCUCUUUAGUCUUUGCCCUGAGAAAUAGAAAUAGAUGAAAGAGCAUGAAUUUUAUUAGUACAUGUGCUAUCAGUAAAGCUAGAUCAUACAACAAUACAGUAUGGGAGUGCGUGAUUCCAUAUAUACAAGAGCCUCAAGAUCGGGCUGCGAUUUCCCUGGUGUGCAAAAGUUGGUACGAGAUCGAUGCCAUCACGAGAAAGCACAUCACUAUUGCCCUGUGUUACACCACCACUGCCGACCUCCUCUUACGGCGGUUCCCCCACCUGGAGUCCCU
This 1517-nucleotide long non-coding RNA is filed under the name Olea europaea (common olive). RNAcentral's name for it is "long non-coding RNA (OEUR_LNC004663)". Lineage: Eukaryota; Viridiplantae; Streptophyta; Magnoliopsida; Lamiales; Oleaceae. The record is from RNAcentral.